CCGUAUGUAGCAAGGGAACACCAUGGAUAGGGUUUGUUCAUCUUCCAAGCUUCAUGGUAAGUCCGUUCUAGCCCCGUUUUUCUUGUUAUUUGUAUUUUUCGCAUCCCGAUAACUUGCUUAAGCUAUCUCUACCAUUAAUUCGAGCUAGAAUUUAUGUCUGAAAAAUUACCCAUAGAUGAAAAGUGUGAAUUUUGAUGUUUCAUGAUAGAAUAUGAAGCUUAGAAUUAUGUUAAGCAACUUUUGCUAAGCGAUUUUGAGUGAAAACGAGUAAAACGACAUAAUCGAUAAAAAUACUAAAUGUUCAUAAGUAAGUGUUAGAGUUGGAAUUUGAUGUUUCUAUAGAAGGGAAAAAUGUUCAACAUGUCAUAAUACAUAAGAAUAAGGGAUGAAGUUUAAUUUACGAGCUUUGGGGCAAAAGUGUAAAUAUGUAAAAGUUUAGGGGCAAAAUUAUAAUUUUACCAAAGUUUGAGUCAAGGACUGUUUUGAUAAAUGUGAGUACUAAAUAAGUCAAAUGUGUUAUUAUAGAUCAAGAAAGAAGUGGAAUCGACCUUGACCGGAGAAAAGGAAAGAUUAAAGACUAAAUUGCUAAAUUUUUAUAUUAUUGCAUCAAAGUAAGUUACGUGUAAAUAAUAGUUAUAUUUUUAUAAAUUGUGAAUUAUAUUUGAUAUGUGAAUUAAUAUUGAAUGUGGAAG
RNAcentral lists this long non-coding RNA (692 nucleotides) under Gossypium barbadense (sea-island cotton). Its description in RNAcentral is "long non-coding RNA (GBAR_LNC016157)". The record is from RNAcentral. Lineage: Eukaryota; Viridiplantae; Streptophyta; Magnoliopsida; Malvales; Malvaceae.